CCUACGGGAGGCAGCAGUGGGGAAUAUUGCACAAUGGGCGGAAGCCUGAUGCAGCGACGCCGCGUGAGGGAUAAAGGCCUUCGGGUUGUAAACCUCUUUCAGCAGGGACGAAGCGUGAGUGACGGUACCUGCAGAAGAAGCACCGGCUAACUACGUGCCAGCAGCCGCGGUAAUACGUAGGGUGCGAGCGUUGUCCGGAAUUACUGGGCGUAAAGAGUUCGUAGGCGGUUUGUCGCGUCGUUUGUGAAAACCCGGGGCUCAACUUCGGGCUUGCAGGCGAUACGGGCAGACUUGAGUGUUUCAGGGGAGACUGGAAUUCCUGGUGUAGCGGUGAAAUGCGCAGAUAUCAGGAGGAACACCGGUGGCGAAGGCGGGUCUCUGGGAAACAACUGACGCUGAGGAACGAAAGCGUGGGUAGCAAACAGGAUUAGAUACCCUGGUAGUCCACGCCGUAAACGGUGGGCGCUAGGUGUGGGUUCCUUCCACGGGAUCUGUGCCGUAGCUAACGCAUUAAGCGCCCCGCCUGGGGAGGUACGGCGCGAGACGUAACGUAAACGAAGUAGACGCGNGAGACGUGCCGACGACGACGACGAGGGAGUAGG
RNAcentral lists this ribosomal RNA (602 nucleotides) under uncultured bacterium. RNAcentral's name for it is "bacterial SSU rRNA". The stretch from base 1 to 524 matches the Rfam family "Bacterial small subunit ribosomal RNA", at positions 338 to 873 of the family's 1533-position model. The record is from RNAcentral.